UACAGAGGGUGCAAGCGUUAAUCGGAAUUACUGGGCGUAAAGCGUCCGCAGGUGGCUGUGUAAGUCUGCUGUUAAAGAGUGAGGCUCAACCUCAUAAGAGCAGUGGAAACUACAUAGCUAGAGUGCGUUCGGGGCAGAGGGAAUUCCUGGUGUAGCGGUGAAAUGCGUAGAUAUCAGGAAGAACACCGGUGGCGAAAGCGCUCUGCUAGGCCGCAACUGACACUGAGGGACGAAAGCUAGGGGAGCGAAUGGG
This 253-nucleotide ribosomal RNA is filed under the name uncultured bacterium. RNAcentral describes it as "partial 16S ribosomal RNA". It matches the Rfam family "Bacterial small subunit ribosomal RNA", at positions 524 to 776 of the family's 1533-position model. The record is from RNAcentral.